Molecule: ribosomal RNA, 497 nt
Filed under: uncultured bacterium
Lineage: Bacteria
Description: partial 16S ribosomal RNA
Rfam family: Bacterial small subunit ribosomal RNA
Source: RNAcentral
GACGAACGCUGGCGGCGUGCCUAAUACAUGCAAGUUGAGCGAUGAAGAUUGGUGCUUGCACCAAUUUGAAGAGCAGCGAACGGGUGAGUAACGCGUGGGGAAUCUGCCUUUGAGCGGGGGACAACAUUUGGAAACGAAUGCUAAUACCGCAUAAUAACUUUAAACAUAAGUUUUAAGUUUGAAAGAUGCAAUUGCAUCACUCAAAGAUGAUCCCGCGUUGUAUUAGCUAGUUGGUGAGGUAAAGGCUCACCAAGGCGAUGAUACAUAGCCGACCUGAGAGGGUGAUCGGCCACAUUGGGACUGAGACACGGCCCAAACUCCUACGGGAGUCAGCAGUAGGGAAUCUUCGGCAAUGGACGAAAGUCUGACCGAGCAACGCCGCGUGAGUGAAGAAGGUUUUCGGAUCGUAAAACUCUGUUGGUAGAGAAGAACGUUGGUGAGAGUGGAAAGCUCAUCAAGUGACGGUAACUACCCAGAAAGGGACGGCUAACUACGUG